RNAcentral lists this long non-coding RNA (236 nucleotides) under Parus major (Great Tit). RNAcentral describes it as "lncRNA (ENSPMJG00000000539.1)". Lineage: Eukaryota; Metazoa; Chordata; Aves; Passeriformes; Paridae. The record is from RNAcentral.
CAGGAGCUUCUCAGGGCAAUGCUGGCCCUUUGCACCUCACACCAUGCCGCGCGUCUGGACAAUUGCUCACAUAUGCCACUGACUGCGCCGACUGAAGCUCCUCACCACAACUGGGUUUCCUCAAGGGGAUGGAGUCUGUGCCAAACCUGCUGAGAUAGAAAAGCUUCUGCAGAAGUGUUGUGCAUGUGCUGGAGCCCCUUUCAGUGACACUGGGUACAUACAAGACUCCCUCUGGC